This 216-nucleotide long non-coding RNA is filed under the name Elaeis guineensis (African oil palm). RNAcentral's name for it is "long non-coding RNA (EGUI_LNC058311)". Lineage: Eukaryota; Viridiplantae; Streptophyta; Magnoliopsida; Arecales; Arecaceae. The record is from RNAcentral.
CAGUCCCCCUACUUUCGAGUUUGAAUUUCGAACGAAGGAUGUACAGAGAGAUGGGCACAGCCGAAACCGUCCCCUCGAAUCCUGCGCACUGCCGCCCCCAGAUAUUUUGGCAUUAAAUAUGCGCAUGCUGGAGUCUUUUCGGAUCGGGGCGAUACGAAGGGACCCUUCGAAAUUCUCGUCGGUACACUGCCCAGGUACGGCACCAUAAUGGCCCUG